RNAcentral lists this ribosomal RNA (253 nucleotides) under uncultured bacterium. RNAcentral's name for it is "partial 16S ribosomal RNA". It matches the Rfam family "Bacterial small subunit ribosomal RNA", at positions 524 to 776 of the family's 1533-position model. The record is from RNAcentral.
UACGUAGGGUGCAAGCGUUGUCCGGAAUUAUUGGGCGUAAAGAGCUUGUAGGCGGUUUGUCGCGUCGAAUGUGAAAACCCGGGGCUCAACCCCGGGCCUGCAUUCGAUACGGGCAGACUAGAGUUCGGUAGGGGAGUCUGGAAUUCCUGGUGUAGCGGUGAAAUGCGCAGAUAUCAGGAGGAACACCGGUGGCGAAGGCGGGACUCUGGGCCGAUACUGACGCUGAGGAGCGAAAGCGUGGGGAGCAAACAGG